This is a long non-coding RNA of Oenanthe melanoleuca, 1676 nucleotides long. RefSeq lists it as uncharacterized. NCBI's taxonomy places the organism in Eukaryota, Metazoa, Chordata, Aves, Passeriformes, Muscicapidae. The transcript is spliced from 2 exons. The record is from RefSeq and is a predicted model, not a curated record.
UCACACCUGGCUGAGCCUCCCCCGGGGCGAUUCUGGGGACACAGCCCGAGCCAGGAGCACGGAACAGGGAACUCCCCCUCGAGGUGAACAGACAGAAAUAAAACCUGUGAUGAAAACUCAGCUCCACACAAGGUUUGCAGGAGGGGUUUCCCUCGAGGAUCUGACAGCCCCAGCUGGGAAGUGCAGCUGCCUUGGGUCUCCUCAGCUCCAGGAGCACUUUUGGGAUGGCUGGAGCCACGGAGGAGCUGGGGACAAGGAGUUCAUUCAACAGCUGAACAUCCCAUCCCAGCUGGAAAAGGCCAAGGGCUAAAACAUCCCGGCAGGUCCGUGGGUGCCACAGCAGCUCUGUGAUGUGGAGAAAUGGGGGGAGCCCCCACUGGGCAACUGAACCCCUCAGAGUGAGAGUUCCAGGAGAGGAAUGGCUGAGUCCAUCCACGUCUCCAUCAGCUGCCCAGGGACAGCUGCACCAAGCAGAUGGAAAGGAAAUGUUCUGUACAUUUUAUUUCAAUAAAGACAUAAGACAAACAGCGUAAAGAUGCCCAGAUGCCCUAAAGAUAAAUACAUUUAAAAGAUUCUCAUUAAAAUGAAUCUGUAGUAUUUCUUUCCUGCAAGCAAAAUACCUUUCUUUAAAUACAAAAAAAAUCAGUAUUCUGAAUUGCAAAUGUUUUCACUUUUUUUGCAGAAAAUCUGCCAUGAUGGUUUUGUUUUUAAUGAAUAAGGAUUUUCCACAAAACAGGCUUGCUCUACAUGCUAAGUUUUAACAGUUCAGUGACACCAUGUGCUAGCUACAUACACAACAGAUAAUAUAGUAAGAAAACACUCAACCUGAUGAAAAGUUAAAAUCUUCAUUAAUACACUGGAAAAAGUUGACAUAACUCAUGCCUUUUAAAAUCAAAAAUACAAAAAUUAAAUGUUUUGCUAAAAAGAUUUUCCUUAUUUUAAGGACUCAUUUGAAAAUGAAGCUGCAUGUAAUUUGUACAAUAAAAUUGUACAAGUAAACAGGUAAUAUACAUAAAAAAUUAAUUGACAUACUUCUCAAUUAUCAGCUGUCCACCUUUAAUUUCCAAUACUGUACUUUCUUAUCAAGCAUACAAAAUAGCAAACUUCUCUUUAGAAAAAGUGCCGUUCUGUGACAUCUUUUACACAAAACCAGUCCGAGCCUGGGGCGUGGCCAUGCAGUCGAGAGGCAAAGCUUCCCUGACUGGAACAGAUCCUCCCUUCCAGGAGCAGCAGUGGGAAAAGGGGAUUCCCCAGCUGUAAAAAUCCCAGCUGAGCGCUGGAGCCACGGCAGGCUGGGCUGUUCCCUGGACACCAGGGGCUGCUGGCAGCAGGAGUGUCACAGGAGCCCCAGCUGGGGGUGAGGUAUUCCUUGUCCAUCGUGGUGCCACUGCCAGCUGUGCUCUGUCCAGGGGACGUGCCAUGGUUCAGGAUAUUCCCAGUAUCAGUCAUUCUUAUCUAGCCAGUCUCUUGAUUUUUUUGAAAAGGUUUUUCGACUACAGUAGAAUAUUACAGAAAGAAAAUAUAAAUGCAGGGUUGGGGUUGGGUUUUUUUUUUGUUGGUUUUUUGUUUUUUUUUUCUUUCUAAAUGAAACUUACGUGGGCUAAAACUAGAGAAUAUUUUUAAACAAAUAUACAGGAUGCAGGCAGACAAAGCAGGGAAACGGCCAGCCAACUGUU